UACGUAGGGAGCAAGCGUUGUCCGGAAUCAUUGGGCGUAAAGCGCGCGUAGGUGGCCUCAUAAGUCCGCUGUGAAAGUCAAAGGCUCAACCUUUGAAAGCCGGUGGAUACUGUGAGGCUAGAGUACGGAAGGGGCGAGUGGAAUUCCUGGUGUAGCGGUGGAAUGCGCAGAUAUCAGGAGGAACACCAAUAGCGAAGGCAGUUCGCUGGGACGUUACUGACACUGAGGCGCGAAAGCGUGGGGAGCGAACAGG
Molecule: ribosomal RNA, 253 nt
Filed under: uncultured bacterium
Lineage: Bacteria
Description: partial 16S ribosomal RNA
Rfam family: Bacterial small subunit ribosomal RNA
Source: RNAcentral